GGAAAAGAAACCAACUGGGAUUACCUUAGUAACGGCGAGUGAAGCGGUAAAAGCUCAAAUUUGAAAUCUGGUACUUUCAGUGCCCGAGUUGUAAUUUGUAGAAUUUGUCUUUGAUUAGGUCCUUGUCUAUGUUCCUUGGAACAGGACGUCAUAGAGGGUGAGAAUCCCGUUUGGCGAGGAUACCUUUUCUCUGUAAGACUUUUUCGAAGAGUCGAGUUGUUUGGGAAUGCAGCUCAAAGUGGGUGGUAAAUUCCAUCUAAAGCUAAAUAUUGGCGAGAGACCGAUAGCGAACAAGUACAGUGAUGGAAAGAUGAAAAGAACUUUGAAAAGAGAGUGAAAAAGUACGUGAAAUUGUUGAAAGGGAAGGGCAUUUGAUCAGACAUGGUGUUUUUUGCAUGCACUCGCCUCUCGUGGGCUUGGGCCUCUCAAAAAUUUCACUGGGCCAACAUCAAUUCUGGCAGCAGGAUAAAUCAUUAAGAAUGUAGCUACUUCGGUAGUGUUAUAGCUUUUUGGAAUACUGUUAGCCGGGAUUGAGGACUGCGCUUCGGCAAGGAUGUUGGCAUAAUGGUUAAAUGCCGCCCGUCU
RNAcentral lists this ribosomal RNA (585 nucleotides) under Hanseniaspora uvarum. Its description in RNAcentral is "eukaryotic LSU rRNA". It matches the Rfam family "Eukaryotic large subunit ribosomal RNA", at positions 55 to 654 of the family's 3401-position model. The record is from RNAcentral. Lineage: Eukaryota; Fungi; Ascomycota; Saccharomycetes; Saccharomycodales; Saccharomycodaceae.